RNAcentral lists this long non-coding RNA (786 nucleotides) under Carica papaya (papaya). RNAcentral describes it as "long non-coding RNA (CPAP_LNC003532)". Lineage: Eukaryota; Viridiplantae; Streptophyta; Magnoliopsida; Brassicales; Caricaceae. The record is from RNAcentral.
GCUAAGAACAUUUAGCUCAAAUAACACAACCAUGUAAGAAAUGGAGAGAUUUUGAAACAAAUAUGAUCUCACUACGGAUGUGGCAAAGUAAAAAAAAUAGAGCUAAAUUAUUUAUAAAAAAUAUUAAAAUAUCUAGAGUGACUAGACUUGAAUACAUGUUCUUCCCAAUCUCAUAAGGUGGUACAAACACAUGAAAGUUUGUAUCAUCUACCUUGAUAUGUUACUGGCAUUAAGGUUGGUGAAGAUCACAUCAAUUAGUAGAAACUCGGUCUUUCUUGCAUUUGAAAUCCCACUAAAUUAGUUAAAAUAAGAAAAGUUAUGGUAAAAGACUAAGAAUUAAGUUUGGUGAUUAUGAAAUUCGUUUGUAAAAACCUAAGGGGAUAUUUAUAAAGGUUUAAGAAAUUUAAAUAAACUUAAAAACGAUGUUAGUCACAUAUGUGCCACUCAAGGACGACAUAAUUGAUGCCUAAUGAAGGGGAGUUGGUGCAUGAAAUUUCCAACAUGGUGUGUGCCAUAUCCUUAGACAAUGCCAUGCCUCUCCCAACUGCAAUAGAGAAAAAAUUAUAAGUAAAGGGAAAGAGAAAAGGAAAAAUUAGUGGGAGAUGAUGAUAUGAGAGUAACGACCAAGCAUGAAUUGUGAUUAGGCAAUACAUUUAUAAAAUAUGUCUAUAAAAUUUGUGAAAUAUUAAUGAGAUGUAAGUCAAGAAAAGAUAAUGAACAACUAGUCAUGAUCUUUCUCGACCACAGGAUCAUGACCCUCAAUUUUAGCCUCAUCAAACUCUUCUU